UCCCUGGUGGUUCAGUGGUAAAGAAGUCUCUGUGCUUCCACUGCAGGGAGCUCAGGUUCAAUCCCUGGUCAGGGAA
Molecule: transfer RNA, 76 nt
Filed under: Bos taurus (domestic cattle)
Lineage: Eukaryota; Metazoa; Chordata; Mammalia; Artiodactyla; Bovidae
Also listed under: 2 other names
Rfam family: tRNA
About the family: Transfer RNA (tRNA) molecules are approximately 80 nucleotides in length.
Source: Rfam by way of RNAcentral